This 460-nucleotide ribosomal RNA is filed under the name uncultured bacterium. Its description in RNAcentral is "partial 16S ribosomal RNA". It matches the Rfam family "Bacterial small subunit ribosomal RNA", at positions 338 to 795 of the family's 1533-position model. The record is from RNAcentral.
GCUACGGGUGGCUGCCGUGAGGAAUAUUGGUCAAUGGACGAGAGUCUGAACCAGCCACGUAGCGUGAAGGAUGACUGCCCUAUGGGUUGUAAACUUCUUUUAUAUGGGAAUAAAACAGGAUAUGCAUACCCUCUUGUAUGUACCAUAUGAAUAAGGAUCGGCUAACUCCGUGCCAGCAGCCGCGGUAAUACUGCGGCUCCGAGCGUUGUCCGGAUUUAUGUGGUUUAAAGUGAGAGUAGGAGGAUUUGUAAGGCAGUUGGGAAAGGUUGCGGCUCAACCGUAGAAAUGCAGGUGAAACUGGCAGUCUUGAGUACAGGAGAGGGGAGCGGAAUUCGUGGUGGAGCGGUGAAAUGCGUAGAUAUCGCGAGGAACUCCGGUUGCGAAGGCAGGUCACUGGACUGCAACUGACACUGAUGCUCGAAAGUGUGGGUAGCAAACAGGAUUAGAUACCCGAGUAGUC